GACGUAGGGGGCGAGCGUUGUCCGGAUUUAUUGGGCGUAAAGCGUGCGUAGGCGGCUGCGCAAGUCGGGUGUGAAACCCCGGGGCUCAACCCCGGAACUGCAUCCGAUACUGCGUGGCUAGAGGUAGGUAGGGGAGAUCGGAAUUCCUGGUGUAGCGGUGAAAUGCGUAGAGAUCGGGAGGAAGGCCGGUGGCGAAGGCGGCGCUCUGGAACGUUUCUGACGCUGAGGCUCGAAAGCGUGGGGAGCAAACAGG
This 253-nucleotide ribosomal RNA is filed under the name uncultured bacterium. RNAcentral describes it as "partial 16S ribosomal RNA". It matches the Rfam family "Bacterial small subunit ribosomal RNA", at positions 524 to 776 of the family's 1533-position model. The record is from RNAcentral.